Long non-coding RNA from Mus musculus (house mouse), 2975 nucleotides. RefSeq annotates it as predicted gene, 29895. The transcript is spliced from 4 exons. The record is from RefSeq and is a predicted model, not a curated record. Lineage: Eukaryota; Metazoa; Chordata; Mammalia; Rodentia; Muridae.
CCUUCGGUAUGGAGAGUCCUCUGGGGACCGUGGGACUGUCUGCCAAGUUCAUGUCCAAGGUGAUGCGGGGCUGACUCCGAUCAGAAUGAGCCCCAGCUGCUGGUCAGGCAGGUUUUCUGUGUCCCUGUUCCUGCUGGCACAGGCACCUCCCAGUAGUUUUGGAACAGAUGAUGUGCUUCACUCACCAGUGAUCCCAAGAUCCUGGGUGUGCUAGUGCACCUGCGGCUGGAGGAUCCUCUCCUGAGAUUUAUUAGUUGGUAAUAUUUCUGUGAUAUUUUGUGGUCAGUUACAUUGUAGUCAAUUUCUUUAAGCUCCCUCCUGUUUGCAUGCUAGAACUGCUAUUUCAGGGUGGAAGGAAGAGGCAAUGUCCUUGACCAGUCACAGUGGCUAAGACUUUUCUGGUGAGGAGGUGCAGGAAGGUCCAGGAAACAAGGACUGGCCCUUAAAUACAGGGUUCUCCUUGCUUACAGGGUUGUCACACACAUCCCCUGACCCCUGCCUCCAGGAGAUUGCAAUUGUCACAAAAUGACAACAGGCAGGAACCAUCAGAGAUUAGAUGAAGUCCAGAGUGUCAGAAGCCUGUUAACUAUCCAAAGCAUUACCCUCUUGUCUUAGUCAAUGUUUCCUGCUUUGAAAAGACACCAUGACCCCAGCCACUUUUAUAAAAGAAAGCUUACAGGUUCAGAAGUUUAGUCCAUUAUCAGCAUGAUGGGGAGCACGGUGGCACAUAGGGAAACAUGGAGCUAGAGAAGAAGCUGAGAGUUCAAUGUCCAGAUCUGAAGGCAGCAGGAAGAGAGCGACACCGGGCCUGGUUUGGGCUUUUAAAAAAUCUCAAAACUUGCUCUCAAGGACACACGUUCUCCAACAAGACCUAAGUGCUGCUUCCUGACGACUAAGCUCUCAGAUACGUGAGCCUAUUAGGGCCACUCACAUUCAAACCACCAUACACCCCCAACCCACUCCCCUAUUCCUACCUCUGAGGCCUGCCCAGCCUCUUGCUGGGGGCUCUUUGUCUGUUCUGAUAAAGUACGUGUUUCUUCUUCUUCCUGUUUGUGGCUGGUGCUUCUCUGAUCCUAUUCAAUAUACAACUUGUAGUGUGUCAGCUGCUUCCAGAAUCUGUGAUGGUUCCCUCGUGUCUGAGAGCCUCAAGUUAUUUCCUGCAGCUCUCUUAUGGCUGCUGCUUUCUGUUUCUGUAUCGGGUCUACAAAGGUUACUUUCUAUCAGGGACUCUAAGCUGCCUAUAUCACAUCUCUGGCUCAGAUUACUAGGUGUCACAGUUCAUCUGUGGCCCCUUCCUCUCUCCGCUGUCACUUCUCUUUUCUGUCUGAGUGUAUCUUCUUUCCUGGACGUACAAUUUUCUGGCCAUUUCAUGGAAUGAACCUGGUGGUACCUCUAGAUGACCACAUUCAGUCAAUGCCCUGUGACAGAAGGCGAGAUAGAGUCUGGACAAAUAGACACAGACAAUUGAGGGUCUACAGGUGGCUGUGAUCAUUUUAGUUUAUACUAUUUUAAGAACCAGUGGCCCUUGUGAUCAAGACCAAUAGCUUUCAGCAAAUCCAGCCACAUCUUUUCUGCUCCGUGAAUAGAACAGAGGAUGGUGGGGAUUCAUAUGUGAUAGUCUACCACAUAUGAACUGUGGUAGACUUCUAGAUCAUGGGGAAGGCUCGGGGCAAUGAGGACCUAGAUCGUGGGAAUUCCAUGAGAGUGUUGACCUCCACCAUCCGUGCUUGCUUUGGCCAUAUGACUGACCCUUGCAUCAGACAGGGACAGAUCUAUGCUGGAAAAACUGAGCAGCACCAUGUCAGAUAAGAAUGUUCCAUGAACUGCAUGUCUUAAUUUUGCAAUUACAUUUAUAGCCUCAUUACAACACAAGCUGCUCUUUGAGAGCAGAGUGUACUCAUCAGAGGGAGUUGUUCCCUUCCAAGUUCUCUGAGUGAGACUGUGGUAGGAAAACCAUGCUGAGAAGCCAGAGCAGGCCUCUCCCCUCUGCCAGGGUUCCAGGCAUGUUCUUCAGAUGCCGAUUUCGAUUUCCAUUCCUUUUAUGCAGGCAGGGUUCUGGAGACAAAAUGUCUAACUGUGAUUCACUUUUGGAAAUUCUCACCUUUUUAAAUUGCUGAUGUGGAUUAUGAAAGUGAAAGAAUGUUGAUGGUAGCCCAGGGCCAAAGAGUCUUUCAAUUAUUCUUCCCUUCUUCCAGCCCUAGCUGGCUGAGGCACAGAAAAAGUCUGCUGUCAGCUCUCUGGAAAUGUGUGCCCCAAAUGAAUAGAUGGUUCUAAGAUGGAUUCUCUGGGACAAGAUCUUGCUCUGCUCUCUAUAAUGGCCAAAGGCUGGAGUUCAUUUGCAGAGGAAGCUCUGAGACAAGAGAUAUUAGCACUGGAAUUGAUGGGCAUGGCUCAAUCAAACAGAGCAAGGAAGAAGACUGAUCGCUCAGCUUCUCAGUGCCUUAAGGCAUCGUUUAAAACACCUUAAAUGCAUCUCUGUGCAUCCAAAGCACUGAAGCACAAAGGACUUUCCAAGCUAUUACACUAAACAGUCACUUUUCCCUCUGCUCUGGGAACAUGAAACAACACAGACUUGAGUGGAGCUGAGCUCAGGAUCUCUCAGGGGAGGCCAGUGCCGUGCUGAGGAGAGAUUUGACACCUGUACCACGGUGGCUUAGCAUCAUGCAGCCGGAUGAACACUUGGUGUAGGCGUUUGUUAACCAAUGCAGCUCAUAGGUGGAUGUGACACCAGUGUCUGUAGUCCAAGUACCCAGAGGCUGAGGCAGGUGCUCCAUGGCUAAAUACUGAGUUCCAGGACAGCCUGAGAUAAGAAGCAAAAGCCUGAUUUAAACAAACAAAAUCUCCAUCAAGGCUUCCAGUGGUUUCCAGUGAGAAGACAACGCGGGAUCCUUCCAGGAAAACAGGACGUCAGUUCUCCAGUCUAACAUCCAGCAAGUUGAAACUUGUAUUAAACUAGAUUUCUCUUGCUGACACUA